AUGUUGCAAUUCAAGCACAGCACUAAGGUUCACCGACUUGAAACCAGAGGGACAAAUAUACCAAAGUUUUCCUUCAAUUUUUUUCCAUUUGAUAAUCUACCAGAAAAAGAUACUUUUGCAAAACCACUUCAAGAUAUAAUAGGAGUCAUUAGCCACAUUGGGCCAUUUGAUUAUGCAAGUCAGACAUCUACAAAUAAACUCAGGAAAAUCAAAAUUCAAAACCUAGAUGAACAGACACAAGAAAUACGUCUUUGGGGCCACCAUGGUGAAACAUUUGAUGAAGAAGCUGUACUUAAAAAAUCACAAGAAGGCAUUGUAGUUGGCAUUUUUGCAGGUCUCACAGCUGGGAGCUUUCUAGGUGCCCUGCAUGCAUCCUCAACCUCUGCAACAAAAGUUUACAUUGACUUGGAUACAUCUCAAGUUAAAAACUACCAAACCAGCUAUAAAUGGGAAUCUCCAGCUCUGCGACACCAACUACCUCAGGUUAUGCAUUUAUCUCCUAUUCAAGCAGCAGGGAAAAUGUACACACUUCAACAAAUAUCAGAUAUGCCCACCUCAAAUUUUCAGGAAGGAGCUACCUACAGCACCAUUGCGAAAGUUAAAUCUAUUGUACCUUCAACUAAAUGGUACUACAAAGGAUGCAAACAUUGUGACAGAGGAUACAACAACAACUCAGAUACUCCAACAUGCCUUUGCACAAAUUCAUCUCCAAAGCCAUUGUACAAGCUACCAAUAACACUUACAGAUGACUCAGGAGAUUUAGAUGCCAUUGCUUUCUCUAAAAUUGCUGAAGAACUGGUUGAGCGAGAUGCCAUACAAGCUUCUCAAAACAUGAAAGUUGAUACCGCGGAACAUGUGACCGCCCUAGAUAAUGCCAUUGGGAAAACCAGAUUGUUCUAUAUAGGAAUGAAGGUUGAUUUGGUAUACAGAUUCCCCAUAAGUUAUGUCAUAAAGAAAAGCUUCUCAGUUGACAAUGCACAAAUACUGCCCUCUACAAAGUCAACUCCAAGCAAAGACCUGGAGAACAGUCCAUCAUCAUCAAAGAGCAUCCAGAGUCCAGGGAGCCUAACACAAGUCCACUUGGGCAAUACUAUGCCUCCCCCUUGCCAAUCUGCAACUAUGGACACCGACAAAAUCAUAAAUAGGUACUCUUCAGCGAAAAGAAGCAUCCAAUUUACAGAAGAUGGAGCCACCAACAAAGAGGGUCAACAACAUGAACAUCUUCAGGAUACACAAGUGCAUCUCCAGGUUGUCAAAAAGCAUAAGCAAGACAUUGCAGAUAACAAUGAGAAAAUGAACAACUAUGAAGGACAAGAGGAUAGCAGUAAUAAAAACACAUAG
This 1341-nucleotide ribosomal RNA is filed under the name Triticum aestivum (bread wheat). RNAcentral describes it as "partial small subunit ribosomal RNA". Lineage: Eukaryota; Viridiplantae; Streptophyta; Magnoliopsida; Poales; Poaceae. The record is from RNAcentral.